Molecule: ribosomal RNA, 253 nt
Filed under: uncultured bacterium
Lineage: Bacteria
Description: partial 16S ribosomal RNA
Rfam family: Bacterial small subunit ribosomal RNA
Source: RNAcentral
UACAGAGGUCUCAAGCGUUGUUCGGAUUUACUGGGCGUAAAGGGUGUGUAGGCGGCGGUUUCAGUCACGUGUAAAAGCCCCAAGCUCAACUUGGUGGUGGCGCGUGAUACUAAAUUGCUAGAGAUUUUGAGAGGGGGUUGGAAUUCACGGAGUAGCAGUGAAAUGCGUAGAGAUCGUGAGGAACACCAAAGGCGAAGGCAGGCCCCUGGAAAAAUACUGACGCUGAGGCACGAGGGCUAAGGUAGCGAACGGG